GUCUCUAAAGUCACAUACGACAUUAUUAUACACGGUUCUAAAAUACACGGUUCUUCAAAUGCCAUUGAGUUUUAAAUUAUGGUAUAUUUUGUGUAUGAGCCCAUGCAGUAAUAACAUAAAUGGCAAUUUUUAUGUAUGAUUUAAUAGUUUAUUUGAAUAAAAAUCUAAAAGGUGUACCUUAUAGCUGACACCUACAUGAACACUUUACAUUUGGUUGUGUGUAUCAGUCAUUCCCUUCAAUUGCUACUGAAGUUAGAAACGUGUUUAACAAUGUCUUAUGUAACUUUAGAGACGGUCCCUUAAUUUCCGCAUAUCCGCGAAUAUCGAACGUCCGACGUCAAGCCAACGUUAAGGUUAAGGACAGCGUGCUUUCAGAGUAGCCCAAGGUUUCAGUAAACGACAUAGGUCAAUAAACCACUUUGUCAGGAUGACAGAAUCUACAUCAAGAUCGGAUCAAGAGCCACCGAACAGAACCCUGAGUAAACUCUCAGAACAGCCAGACGGGAGAGAAGCCCAGAGGUACACCGUCGCCCAUCGAACCGUCAUCAGGCUGUACAGGAAUCUGCAGUCAUGCAGCAAUAUAAAGGAGUAUAAAGGUCACGAUCACAGAGCAGAUUGUUGCAUGUAUCGGGACAGUUCAGGAGUGUGCAGCCAUUACAGGUUCACUUCAGCGUCUCAGAGCGGUGAGGAACCUCUCCACAGGGAACAGACUUUAGAAAUCGCAGAAGGUGUCUCUCGCUCAGAGAAACAGGUGCCCAUCGCUGAAGUCCAGACAUUUUCUCGAGGCCGGAGCGAUAGUGAAAGUCAUGACGAUAACCUGCCCAGAACACAUCGCCUCCUUUUCUUCAUCAUCAUCCUCAUCCUUCUCCUCCUCACGCUCUUGGUUUUAAUCCCCUACAUGCAAUACGAACAGACGUCACCGUGCUUUUAGAGAUAUUCAGCACACUGUAAUAUCUUACACGUAUACACGUGGCGUUCCCAGCACACUCUUCUGAGACAACAAUCAUUAAACCUGUAAACCUCUGCAGACUCUUCGCUUUAUUUACACGUCUGAUGAUCACUUUUCGUGUGUCAGAGUCCGAGUGCUGUUGGUCUGAAAUAAGCAUUUGUACUCAGAG
Ictalurus punctatus (channel catfish) is the source of this 1118-nucleotide long non-coding RNA. Lineage: Eukaryota; Metazoa; Chordata; Actinopteri; Siluriformes; Ictaluridae. The record is from Ensembl.